Triticum aestivum (bread wheat) is the source of this 120-nucleotide non-coding RNA. The record is from Rfam. NCBI's taxonomy places the organism in Eukaryota, Viridiplantae, Streptophyta, Magnoliopsida, Poales, Poaceae.
AACAUACUCCCUUCGUCCUAAAUUUUUUGUCUUAAAUUUGUCUAGAUACGGAUGUAUCAAAUAAAAUAUCCAUAUUUAGACAAAUUUAAAACAAGAAUUUUGAGACAGAGGGAGUACAAG